Non-coding RNA from Linepithema humile (Argentine ant), 4953 nucleotides. The record is from RefSeq and is a predicted model, not a curated record. Lineage: Eukaryota; Metazoa; Arthropoda; Insecta; Hymenoptera; Formicidae.
GUGCUCAUUCCGUAGCGGACUGCCGCAUCGAACGGACGUGAAAUCUGAACGGAUUGUCGAAAAAGCGACACGCCGCAGUCAAAAAUAAAAAAACAAAAAAAAAGAUACACACACUGAUACGCACUUGUGAAAAAGCGCGACGUGUAUGCAGUUUUCCAGUCGACAGUAGCCCAAAUUCGGAGACUCAGCCGCAGCGAUCAUCGUCGCGGUGACAGCAGAUCGAGAGGGAACUCAUUGAUACAUCGACGUUGUCAACGUUACACAGGUCGAGAUUCAACAAUCGGCGAUAUCAACCAGCGAUUUUGGCAGAUUUGCGUGAAUCGCCGCCUAACGAGAUUCGCGGGAGAGGAAAAAAAGAAUCGUCAAUUUCGGACACGCCGAGACAGUGAAGAUCGUCUCUCCCUGGCGCGGCGAAGUGUCCCGUGCGCGUAGAACUUUCUAGAGCCAACGAGAGAGGAAAAAAGUGAAGGAGAAGAAGAGGGAACGAGCGGACGAGACGACGUACAGAAGCGGGACAGUGAGUUGCGCGGAGCCGAGACGGGAAGAGGGACAGAGUUAGAGCAUACACGCACGCCGGCACCCCAGACGAGAUGGCGUUUAUGAUGCCUGUGGUGAAAAACGAAUUUGACAUUUACAAGACUAAUCGCAGCCGGCGCUCGUCCGAGUGCUCGAAUCCGCAGGCCUGUCGCAGCAGGAAGGUCUGGCGAACUAGCAGACACAACCGUCUCGCAAAGUGCGGCACACCUGAUCGCCCUCCCGUCUCGAUUCUCAUGGUAUCCGAGUGCUCCAAGUCGGAGGGCCCGUCGCUGUCGACUUCACCCGGUUCCGACUUCCUGACCUCGCCGGCGCACCGGUCUGUACCGCUUAGCUCGCGGCAUUUCUCGCGGACGUCAUCGCGCGCGUCGCAAAGCUCUCUGCAGAGCCCGAGCAAGAGUACGGGCACGUCGCCGCCGAAGACCGGCAGUUCGAGUUCCCUCAACAAGUUCCACAACCGGCUGGUCGACAAGCUGAAGCGCUCGCUGAAGAAGGCGGACGACUGCGCAGAGGAUCAGCGUAAUCUAUCGUGAAACAGCCAAGGGGUUUUGGGCCGGCCGCCCGUGUCCGGCUCGAAACCGAUCGAGAUCCGACGCACCUCGGCACCCGCUACCACAUCCGAGUCGAGCAGUAACGUGGCGGCACGCUCGUGUCCGGAUCCGUCUUCAGCUUGGUAGAGGGCAAGGUAGAGAGAAAGGAAGAAAGAGAGAGGAAGCAACAGCAAUGAAGAAUAUGUAUGCGGGACUGAAACAUCAAGAGAAAGGAAGAAUGCGCGUGCAUAUGACGGAAUCGGCGGGAGCAAGAAGAGGGGGGAGGGUGGAAAGAAAAUCGGACGUCGCGCGUUCACCUCGAGAAGGAUGUUCGAAAGCGAACGCGUUCGAGUUUAUAAGUCUAAGAGGACGAGAGGAUGGGCGGUUAUAACGAUCCUCGAACCGUCGGCUCGAUGUCGACGGUCGGUCACGUCAAGGAUCCUCUCACGAAUCGAGAUACACCUCAAUGGAGGAGUUGCCGACUUAGCCGGCGCUCAUGGAAGGAUGAACGCGGCGCUCUUGAGAUGUUCCUUUCGAGACGGAUUACGUUUUUAAAAAUGACAUCCGAUUCUCCGACGAUCGCAUCGAAAGUCUACGCGCAUUCUGCGGGAACGAAGAGGCGGAAACUCCCACAUAUCCAAAAUUAAAUCGCAGUAAUUAAAUAUUAAACAGAAGAUCUGACUCCAACGUGAGCACCGCCGGAAGCUUUCGACGGUUUAAAGAAGUAAAGCUCGAUCGAACGUUGUGCAAACAUCUUAGCGUUCGAAAAAUACGUUGGACUUUUGUGGAAAAUCGCCAAAUAACAAUUGGAAGGAUAAUUUUGAACAAUUGAAAUAUUGACGAAGCGAUAGCAACACGCGAAGAUAUCGCCAGGAGUUCGCCGUCGGGUUCUCCUUUCCACCGAGAAGUCAUCGCGAGAGUCGCGAAAAUCGCAGCGGACGGAUCUGGAUUGUGUCCAAUCAGUAGGUUGCAACCGCCACCCACUACGUUUUCUCCGAUUUACCAUCAUCUAAGAGAUUAAAAAAAAAAAAUGAUCAGUCUCGCGGCUUCCUCGUCAUCCGGAUUAAUCUCCGCGCUCGCGCGAAGUUCUCGCGGAUAAAUCUGAGAAUCUGUUUAGGAUGGCGAGAGAAAGAAGCGGAAGAGAAGGAGGAAGGAAGCAGGGGGAAGAGAGCAGGUCGCGACGGAGCCUCCGAGAGUCCACCAUCAGGGGGUCAAAGGCCAAGCGUUGGACGAAGCAGUGGCCAGGAAGCGAGCACCAAAACGGAGAACAAUAACGACGCUCGCUCGUUCAUUGUGUCGUUCGAGUCAGCAUCGAGUUUGCGUGCCGGAUGCAAGCAGUUUCCCGUCUUCGCGGGACCGGCGUCUUCGCAUGGGAAGAGGAAACUGCGCGAAGUGGUUUAGGGGCGCGAAUGAACGUGCGUAUACGUCGAGUCAGACCGCGAGCGAAUGAAGCCUAAGAGAGAAGCGACUUAUUCUCACGACUGUAUACCGCGCUAUUCGACGUCGCAAAGAGUUAGUUGUACUCGCGUAUUCGCCUUCUGCGAAUUAGUUUUUCGUAUCUCCCUUCUAUAUCGCGUUAAUCUCCGCUGGAAAUCACGGCGAGACAAUACGAACGUCGCCUUUCGCAUACAACCGACGCGUCGAUUAACAUGCAUUAACGUCCGAAUAGAAGGCCUUUGUUCAAAAAAUAGAACUCUAGAUAACGCAAAACUCAUUGCGUGAAAAUAUCGUUGACUUUAAAAGAGUUUCUUUGAAAACAAAUCAAGAUAAAUCGGGUUAUUUCAAAAUAAAUGUUCUAGCAAUGUUUUUAUAAAGACAUUAAUUUGGCACAAUGUUUUUUCAAGGCAGUGAGAAAUGUAUCGAACAGUUUGCAAUUGUCGACGCGUAUCUUACUGACGACAUUGCUAUUUCGUCCACGUUGAAGCGUUGCGAUAGUGGUGCUAAUAUACGUGACGGGGGAGUAUGAUAAAUGCAUCCGGUACCAUUAACGCACUCUGCGGUGUACGCGUUGUUGUACGCAAAAGGCACGAUUCGCUGAGACGUUAUCGUUUCCGGAGAUUUCCACUUUUGUCAGAUCGGGGCACUCGCGUGUGCUGGCCGAAGAUAUUUUCUUAAACGAACUGUCACUCAUCAUACACACAUACAUACCCAUCUACACAUGUACACAUGCCAUCGAAGCUGUAAAACAACGUUUUUCCCGAGGUGCAUCCUCGCGAAUUUCGAGUUAUUUCGUAUAUUUGUUAUUUCGCGUCGUCGCUACGGAGCGCUUGUUAAUUUUUUCAUGUAAUAUAUAAUAUAUAUAGUGUAUUAUUUUGUUGUAAGACGAGUCGAUCGGAGGGAAGGAGGUGCGGAAGGGAACGUGUGUCCUUGGUCGCACGUGCAAAGGACGUCGAGUGUUACAAGGAAGGAGCACCGCUUCCGUCAUGAGAGAUUUCUCUUGAGAGAGAUACUUCUUUUUAUCUGAGACGUAUCAAUUUGAAAAGUUAUGACCUUAAUAAAUGAGAAAAAUGUAUCAUUCGUAUUGGUUAAUUGAUUAAAUAAAUGAAACUUUUUAAUUAAUUUUGGCUGACUCGAUUUUUAAUUUUUCUAAUUAAAUAUUUCUUUCAAAAUCUUAGAACUUGCUAUGAAAAGAAGAAUGUUUAUUUCGGUUAACAUUAAAUUGUUAAAUUUCUAAAUUAAAAAUAUCAUUGAGCAAAGUUAAAAAAAUGCAAUAUAAAUUUUUAAAAAAUAAAAAAUGGCAAAUAACAUCUUUUCAACACGAAAAUUGUAAAUUUAAUUUUAUAUAUAUUACAUGACAAGUUAAUUUGAUAGUCCAAGUCCGAUUCCAAUUUAGACAGCAAUUUUUCUCAGAGCCAUUCGUUCUCAUAAGAUUGCAACACCUUGACGUCCUUCGCAUCCGUCUACAGUUGUCCUGGUUUUCCGCGCGGAGGAUGUAGUGGUUUGCGCGCUUUCUUUCUAUCGGUUGCGUAUCGGGGAUUACGAACUGGGAGCAAUUAAGCGAUACCGCGUGUAACUCUGUGAUACCGUAAGCUAUAAGGUAGAAUUACUCUGCAACGAUUAAGUCGGAUUAGAGAAGAGAAUGGCGUUUAUGCGUGAGGAGAUAUACGUAGUUAGGACGAGACACGAACGCUUUGAUUAUCCAUCGAUUGCAGACUCGCAUUCUUCGAAAACCGAAAUGACAAUGAUUUUGAUUCUUGGUUGGCACGAAAUAACACGAGAGUGCUCCAGUAAGAGUCCAGUGAUUUUUUUUCUCCGGAAAGAAAAUGAGCGUUUGCUUUUCGAACCUUGUCGAGAAGGACGAAUUCCGGUGCACGAGCAUUUGAAGUCGUUUACGUCCGUCUUAACGUGUACAUAAAAUAUUAAGAGGCUGAAAAUCCGAAAGCGUCUGUCGAUUAUCAUCUGGCUGAGACCUCGAGAGAAAAUCGUACAACAAGCUAUAUAUAAAUUUUUUUGUCAAAAGUGCAAACAGGUUUCGCGAGUAUAAUUAUUCGGCGUGGAAGCCAGUUUAAUUCGACUUAAUAACUGCUGAAAGAUGUAAAAUCUUUUCUCUCGAAUUCAUUAAACUGCAAGAACGUCGAUUAGCAUAUGUCGAUUCGCGCUUUCGGACUCACAUCGGAUUUAAGAGAAAGCUUAGUCGGUAGACACGCGGAAAAUUUUGAAAAUUUGCAUAGCUCAACCUGCAUUUCUUCGGGUGCAGAUGGCGGAGGGACGAGAAUACGGAAAAGGGAAAGAGAGGGAGAAAGAAAGAGAGAAAAAUUGGAAGAGAGAAAGACAGAGAACUGUUUGCGAACAUCAGUUAAUAAAGAAAUCAUUUUGUGAAGGUGCGUACCGAAUAAUUUCCAAAAGUUGCCGCUUUAUGUAAGACUGCUUUAGUGAAAAAAAAAACAGA